RNAcentral lists this small RNA (170 nucleotides) under Klebsiella quasipneumoniae subsp. similipneumoniae. RNAcentral's name for it is "RtT sRNA". The stretch from base 1 to 66 matches the Rfam family "tRNA". The record is from RNAcentral. RNAcentral also lists the same sequence under 1 other name. Lineage: Bacteria; Pseudomonadati; Pseudomonadota; Gammaproteobacteria; Enterobacterales; Enterobacteriaceae.
UAGCUCAGUUGGUAGAGCAGUUGACUUUUAAUCAAUUGGUCGCAGGUUCGAAUCCUGCACGACCCACCAAUCUUUAAUGAUGGUAACUGGUAGAAAAGUGAAGGAUAACGUUGCGUCAGCAACGGCGCCGAAGGGCGAGGCGAAGCCGAGUCAUCCUGCACGACCCACCA